RNAcentral lists this ribosomal RNA (789 nucleotides) under uncultured archaeon. RNAcentral describes it as "bacterial SSU rRNA". It matches the Rfam family "Archaeal small subunit ribosomal RNA", at positions 85 to 879 of the family's 1478-position model. The record is from RNAcentral.
ACGGCUCAGUAACACGUGGACAACCUACCCUGAAGAGGGGGAUAACCCCGGGAAACUGGGGAUAAUACCCCAUAGACUAUGGAUGCUGGAAUGCUCUGUAGUUCAAAGGUCCGCCGCUUCAGGAUGGGUCUGCGGCCGAUUAGGUUGUUGUUGGGGUAACGGCCCAACAAGCCUGUAAUCGGUACGGGUUGUGGGAGCAAGAGCCCGGAGAUGGAUUCUGAGACACGAAUCCAGGCCCUACGGGGCGCAGCAGGCGCGAAAACUUUGCAAUGCGAGAAAUCGUGACAAGGGAACUCCGAGUGCCUGUAAAAUCAGGCUGUCCGCCAGUGUAAACAACUGGUGAAGAAAGGGCCGGGCAAGACCGGUGCCAGCCGCCGCGGUAAUACCGGCGGCUCGAGUGGUGGCCACUAUUACUGGGCUUAAAGCGUUCGUAGCUGGUCUGUUAAGUCUCUGGGGAAAUCUUCCGGCUUAACCGGAAGGCGUCUCAGGGAUACUGGCAGACUAGGGACCGGAAGAGGUGAGAGGUACUCCAGGGGUAGGAGUGAAAUCCUGUAAUCCUUGGGGGACCACCUGUGGCGAAGGCGUCUCACCAGGACGGCUCCGACAGUGAGGAACGAAAGCUGGGGGAGCAAGCCGGAUUAGAUACCCGGGUAGUCCCAGCUGUAAACGAUGCGCGUUAGGUGUAUCGGUGACCACGAGUCACCGAGGUGCCGAAGAGAAAUCGUGAAACGCGCCGCCUGGGAAGUACGGUCGCAAGGCUGAAACUUAAAGGAAUUGGCGGGGGAGCAC